UUAUAUAGUGUACCAAGCCUGAAUACGCCCGAUCUCGUCCGAUCUCGGAAGCUAAGCAGGGUCGGGCCUGGUUAGUACUUGGAUGGGAGACCGCCUGGGAAUACCAGGUGCUGUAAGCG
This is a ribosomal RNA of Oncorhynchus mykiss (rainbow trout), 119 nucleotides long. The record is from Ensembl. NCBI's taxonomy places the organism in Eukaryota, Metazoa, Chordata, Actinopteri, Salmoniformes, Salmonidae.